This 1136-nucleotide long non-coding RNA is filed under the name Sus scrofa (pig). RNAcentral describes it as "lncRNA (ENSSSCG00025034095.1)". Lineage: Eukaryota; Metazoa; Chordata; Mammalia; Artiodactyla; Suidae. The record is from RNAcentral.
CCACUAUUCUGUGAAAAGCCCAAGCCACCUGGAGACAGCCCCAAAUGAACUCCCAGCCAACAGCCAGCAUCAACCGUUGGCUAUACGUGGGAGCUAUUUCAGACCACCAGCUAACCAAGUCUUCAGAUGCCUGAAGGCCCAGCAGACACAAACCUACAAUGCAGAAAACCAAAACAACAGCAAAAAAAAAAAAAAAAAAAAAAAAAAAAGCAAAAAACCUAUGCAUUGAAGACAACACCAGGACUCAUUAUUCUUGGGCUAAACUUACCAAUAAUUUUAUAGAUCCCUAACCGUGUCCCUUUUUACUGAAACCAAAUGAGAGCAAAAUAUUUGUCUGACUUUUUCCUCUUGUCAAAAUUCAUGGACUCCUAGAUCUAACACUGAAUAUUAAAGAUGUCACAUUUCACUGUUCUAAUUUUAGGGCACUUAUACAUAUUAUGCAGUUGAUGUUUCUCCUCCUGCAAACAGUGUUUAUCCUUUUUCUCUUUCCCUCAACCAGCUUGCCUUGUAGUUUCACCUUCAAACAGAUUCCCAAUCCUCAAGGCUUCAAAUAUCCAGAAAAUCUCUCUUAUUCAUUCUCCUCUUUAUUGCUCAGUUUCCUAAUUUUAUAGAUUUUUUUUCCUUAGAAAUAUCUUUCGUCCAUCUUUUUCUCUCCAUUUCCACUACUGCCAAUAUUCCACUGUGAUUGAAGGAGACAUUUACCACAGCAUUCCAGGAUUACUCUGACAACUGGUUCUAUCCUCUCCAAUUUACCCUAUACCUUAAACAACAAUGCUAAAAUUAUCUUCCUUAAACACUAAUUUCAUUACAAUUCUUCCCUGCUCAAAAGCAUUCCAUGACUCCCUACUUCCUAUUACAUAAAUUCUAAAUCUCUCUGGUUGCAAUUCACUUCCUUCCUUCUUGGAGAAGGGGGUCCAUUAUUCUAUCUAGAACAUUAUUCUAUCUCUCUCCAUCCAAAACCCUUCACUACCCUCCAAAUACCAACAGGUUCAAUACCACUCUCUCCAUGAAACUUUCCAUUACAAUGGGUGUGGAACUAAGUAAUGUUCAACAUCACUUUUUAAAUCAAAGAACUAUAAGUGAUGUGGUUAGAGAAGAAAUUUAAAAUAUUCUCACACUGAAGCCUGAAAUUCCAC